UACGAGCACCUCAUCAGUUGGACCCGCACACAAACACCCCACGUGGGCGAACGCACGCGCAGACGACCACACAGAGGCACGUCCACGGAGACAUUGUCCCCACCUACACCUACGUACGUAGCAAGCGCUCGGAUCUACCCUUGUGUCUCUUGCGGCAUGCCUCACCGAAAGAUCAUUAUCGACACGGACUGUGGCGGCGACGAUGCCAUUGGCAUCAUGACCGCGCUGGCGGACCCCAAUACCGACGUCAUCGCCAUGACGGCCGUCUGGGGCAACGUCAACGUGAAUCAGGGAAUGGAGAACAUCGGCAAGCUCCUCGACGUUUUCGAGCGCGACAUCCCCUUCUACAAGGGUGCCGAGGCGCCGCUCGUGUCGGAUCCCGAGACGGUGCAGUGGGGCGGCUUCGGCAAGGACGGCUUUGGCGAUGCGGAUUUUCCACCGUCCGCGCGGGUGCUGGAGCAAUCCAAGACGCACGCCGCCCUCGCCAUCACGGAGCUGCUGCGAGCUGCUAAGCCGGAUGAGGAUACUGUCUACCAGCUCGUCUGCCUGGGACCCCUCACCAACAUUGCUCUGGCGAUGCGACUUGAUCCGGAAGUGUUCGACGUACUGGGCAGCGAGACGGAACCGGCCAUCACGAUCAUGGGUGGCGCGAGCGAGGCGAAAGGCAACUCAAACUUGACGUCGGAGUUCAACAUGCACUGCGACCCUGAGGCAGCGUACAUCGUCUUCAACCAACGCAAUAUGCGUCCCGUCCGCGUUGUUUCGUGGGAGGUGACGGUGGACUGCUCUAUGACGUGGACGUUCUUCGACGAAUGGAUAGGCCGCCAGGAAAACGGGAAGAAGCAGCAAAACCGGUUUCAAGUUUUCAUUGAGAAGGUGUUCCAGCGGCUGGAGACCUUCACCCGUCCGCUUCCCGACGGCACCAAGGCGAACACCGGGGACGCGGAGGCGACGCAAGACAACACAUGCGUCAUCCCUGAUGCGGUGGCCAUGGUCGCCGCUCUUUACCCCGAGAGCAUUCUGGAUCGCUUCAUCACCUACUGCACCGUAGAGCUGCACGGACGUGAGACACGUGGUCAAACCUGCCUGGACUGGUACGGCACUAAGCAGUCGAUGGCGAAGCGAGGGCGCUGGUGCAACUGCGAGUUGAUCACCCGUGUCGAUAACGCUCGCUUCUUGGAAGCGAUGACUGGUAUCCUGAAAUACAAAGUUUAAUAUGCGCCACCGUCGUGUUGAUGACGGCACGGACGCCACGCUCUCGGUAUCUUUUUCGUCUUCUGCUGUAUGUGUACGCGUGGGUGUGCAUGGCUGGUGAGGGUGAGGCCGGAAGCGAAGACAAGCACAUCGUUUAUUCACGUCUGUGUUGCAAAGCAGCCCUGCGAUGCUCUUUCCGUCUCUCGUUCGCGUCGUGCGAUGAGCCGCACUCUCUCUCCCGGGCGCCGCCUACCUCCCACCCUCCCCCCCAAGCGGCCCUUCGCCGGUGCGCCAACUGGCUUUGCCCUUGUGACUGGCACAUACCAUCGCAGGAAGGAAAAGAGGAGCGACCUGCAUGAUCAAGAAAGUUUCUGGUGCAGGUCUGCGUGUGCUUCGUUUUCAUUUUUCGUUCUUAUCCACGUGAGAGCGCGCAUAUGGGCGCACAUGUAAGUGUUGGGUGAACCUUAUCUCCCCACCCGCUCAUCCCACGCAGAUAAGCGCGGACACGCAUCCCCCUGCAAGCAAACAUGCAACUAUAUAUGUACAAACACCAAUAUAUACAUAUACAUAUAUAUGUAUAUGCCUACGCAUAUACAUGCAUGGAGCUGAUGUGCACAUUCGUUGACGUAAUGAUGCAAGACGACUGCUGAUGCCUUCGUCUUUUUUGGAGGAAGGAUGUCAUCACAUCAAAGGCUCGCGUCUUUCGAACUUCUUCAACCCCUCCCCCCUCCUCUCCGCCCUCCUCCCACCCCCUUCCCAG
RNAcentral lists this unclassified non-coding RNA (1954 nucleotides) under Leishmania donovani. RNAcentral describes it as "gene:LdHU3.14.0160(CDS-product:inosine-guanine_nu cleoside_hydrolase_putative)". The record is from RNAcentral. Lineage: Eukaryota; Euglenozoa; Kinetoplastea; Trypanosomatida; Trypanosomatidae.